This 497-nucleotide ribosomal RNA is filed under the name uncultured bacterium. RNAcentral's name for it is "partial 16S ribosomal RNA". It matches the Rfam family "Bacterial small subunit ribosomal RNA", at positions 28 to 507 of the family's 1533-position model. The record is from RNAcentral.
GAUGAACGCUGGCGGCGUGCCUAAUACAUGCAAGUCGAGCGAACAGACGAGGAGCUUGCUCCUCUGACGUUAGCGGCGGACGGGUGAGUAACACGUGGAUAACCUACCUAUAAGACUGGGAUAACUUCGGGAAACCGGAGCUAAUACCGGAUAAUAUAUUGAACCGCAUGGUUCAAUAGUGAAAGACGGUUUUGCUGUCACUUAUAGAUGGAUCCGCGCCGCAUUAGCUAGUUGGUAAGGUAACGGCUUACCAAGGCAACGAUGCGUAGCCGACCUGAGAGGGUGAUCGGCCACACUGGAACUGAGACACGGUCCAGACUCCUACGGGAGGCAGCAGUAGGGAAUCUUCCGCAAUGGGCGAAAGCCUGACGGAGCAACGCCGCGUGAGUGAUGAAGGUCUUCGAAUCGUAAAACUCUGUUAUUAGGGAAGAACAAAUGUGUAAGUAACUAUGCACGGCUUGACGGUACCUAAUCAGAAAGCCACGGCUAACUACGUG